RNAcentral lists this long non-coding RNA (224 nucleotides) under Solanum tuberosum (potato). RNAcentral's name for it is "long non-coding RNA (STUB_LNC010921)". Lineage: Eukaryota; Viridiplantae; Streptophyta; Magnoliopsida; Solanales; Solanaceae. The record is from RNAcentral.
UUAAUACUACUCCCUCCAUACUUGUCGAAAUAGAGUAUGUGCUUUCUUGUCAUGUGUUGGGAGGACGCGAAUGACCUAAGCGGUUAUGUUAAGCUAUUUUCGAAUACGAGUUAUCUGAGUUGCAAGUAGUAAUCUUGAAUGAGAUUAAUUCAUCAUGCUUAGUUCAUGCUUGUUCGUGGUUUCUUUUGUAGCGUCAAUAUUUACGUAACACUUGUUGGAGUCGU